This is a non-coding RNA of Quercus robur (English oak), 72 nucleotides long. The record is from the annotation of a RefSeq genome assembly. Lineage: Eukaryota; Viridiplantae; Streptophyta; Magnoliopsida; Fagales; Fagaceae.
UCCGUUGUAGUCCAGCGGUUAGGAUUCCUGGCUUUCACCCAGGCGACCCGGGUUCGAUUCCCGGCAACGGAA